UAACAAGAGAUUAACUGCCAUCCAAUAAGGAAUCACAAUUCUCUAUAACCAUAACUUUCCACAAAAACCAAUGUUUACACAAAAAAGGCCUUUCCUAUAAGUUUUAGUAAAGCAGAAAACUCGCUUUUUUUCUAUCUUUUCAAGUGUUUAAGUGAAGAACAUUUAAUAAUUACAACAUUUUUUAAAAUGGCAAACUCGUAGAAAGACCUUUUUAUACACAGAAGUCAUUCUCUAAUUCAGAGUUUUCCUGACCACAAUGUCAGUUAGGCUAUUCAUCUGUAUUUGGUUAUACCUUCAGUUUAUUUCACUAGAACCUUAUCUUUUAUUAUUUAUAGUUCUGUAUCAUCUGGUCGCUGCCUGAGUGUCUGAAAGGAUUAGUGUAAAUUGAGUUUUAUGAAUCAAUUUUGGCUGUAAGUGCUUUAGAUUAUCUCAUAAUUCACUUCAUGAAUGUAUUUCCUAAUUCACCUAUUUGCAAGCUGGAAAAUUGUUAAACUGGUUUUCUUAAAGAGAUGUGACAUGGCACAAAGGUGAAAUUGAUAGGAAAGACAUAUCAGUAAUUGAGACUCUUUGAAAAAUGUUUCUUAUAGCAAAACAGACACACACAUGGAAAAUCACAUUGUCAGUUUUAGCCAUUUAGGGGGAAAAGCAACUCACCAUUUUAAUCAGAAAUGUCAAUGGUAUAUGCUUUUACGAUAACUUUUGAAAUUUCAAGUUCAACUGUUAUUUGUUGAUGUGAAUACUGAUGUAAUACUCAUCUCUGUUUCUGUAAAAGGAAAAUAUGAUCCAUUUUGCAGAUGUCUACCAUAGAAAAUAAGCUGCUUUAAUAGAAGGGGUGAUCCACUGAAAGUUGAGUUAGUCAAGAUUAACAAGUAAGCAUUUGCCUCCAUGAGUGAGUUACUGCAUGUCUCACUUUGUUGAUGUUCUUCAUUAUACUUAUUAUCAAUUUCAUAGGAAUAUUUAAUAACAUGAAUAAAAUAUACUGUUCAGAAUAAAAGGAAAAGUAUCUU
RNAcentral lists this long non-coding RNA (1007 nucleotides) under Homo sapiens (human). RNAcentral describes it as "HSALNT0148045". The record is from RNAcentral. Lineage: Eukaryota; Metazoa; Chordata; Mammalia; Primates; Hominidae.